AUGUUUAAAAGUUCCCCAUGCGAUUGCAGCGUGUGGCAAGGAAGAGAGACUGAGAUGCACUGGGCAUGGGCAUCAUCCCAAGGAAAGUGCCCCACGAGGAGAGGGGAAGAAGUGAGGGAGCAGCACCGGGGUGUGGGUGGAGUCACCCCACUCCUCCCCUCCAACGGAGCAGCACAGCAAGACAAAUGUGUCAGGUUUUCAAAGGAGAAAAGGCAACGAUCACCCUGUAGAUGACGAUCACUGUCAGUGCCAGAGGUAAGCACGUUACACCUGCUCCAGGGUGACAACCCGCAGGGACAGCCAGCAGAAGCUUGGGAAGCUCACAGGACUCCAGAGGGAUUAAAGACAGGGGAAAGCAGGUGCUCUGAGGUGACUCUGAAGCAGAGAUCCCUCUGCCCUUUCUCAGGGCCUC
This 412-nucleotide long non-coding RNA is filed under the name Fukomys damarensis (Damara mole-rat). RNAcentral describes it as "lncRNA (ENSFDAG00000027223.1)". The record is from RNAcentral. Lineage: Eukaryota; Metazoa; Chordata; Mammalia; Rodentia; Bathyergidae.